UGGGGAAUAUUGCGCAAUGGGCGAAAGCCUGACGCAGCGACGCCGCGGGAGGGAUGAAGGUUUUCGGAUCGUAAACCUCUGUCAGAAGGGAAGAAACCGCACUGUGCUAAUCAGCAGUGCCUUGAGGGGACCUUCAAAGGAAGCACCGGCUAACUCCGUGCCAGCAGCCGCGGUAAUACGGAGGGUGCAAGCGUUAAUCGGAAUUACUGGGCGUAAAGCGCACGUAGGCUGCUUUGUAAGUCAGGGGUGAAAUCCCACGGCUCAACCGUGGAACUGCCUUUGAUACUGCUUAGCUUGAAUCCGGGAGAGGGUGGCGGAAUUCCAGGUGUAGGAGUGAAAUCCGUAGAUAUCUGGAGGAACAUCAGUGGCGAAGGCGGCCACCUGGACCGGUAUUUACGCUGAGGUGCGAAAGCGUGGGGAGCAAACAGG
Molecule: ribosomal RNA, 429 nt
Filed under: Fusobacteriota bacterium
Lineage: Bacteria; Fusobacteriati; Fusobacteriota
Description: Fusobacteria bacterium partial 16S ribosomal RNA
Rfam family: Bacterial small subunit ribosomal RNA
Source: RNAcentral